CGGCCCGGCGGGUCCGUCGCCACCGUAAGCAAUCAUUGUGAGACGGAGGGAGGAAAGUCCGGGCAACAAAGGGCACCAUGCUUCUUAACGGGAAGCGACCGGCAACGGUCGGUAGCUGCAGAAGAAAAGAACCGCCCUCCUCAGCGGGGGUAAGGGUGAGAAGGUGAGGUAAGAGCUCACCGGCGUCUGUAGUGAUGCAGACGGCCGUGCACACCAUGGGUUGCAAUGUCAAGUAAACCGGCGCUAUGAGGGCGGCCCGCCCCAUGCCGGAGGGUAGGCAGCUGGAGCGUGCGGGCAACCGUACGCCGAGAUAAAUGACGGACAGCGGUCAACGACCGUUACAUAACCCGGCUUAUAAGUCAGACCGGUUC
Molecule: non-coding RNA, 371 nt
Organism: Prevotella sp. CAG:485
Lineage: Bacteria; Pseudomonadati; Bacteroidota; Bacteroidia; Bacteroidales; Prevotellaceae
Rfam family: Bacterial RNase P class A
About the family: Ribonuclease P (RNase P) is a ubiquitous endoribonuclease, found in archaea, bacteria and eukarya as well as chloroplasts and mitochondria. Its best characterised activity is the generation of mature 5'-ends of tRNAs by cleaving the 5'-leader elements of precursor-tRNAs.
Source: Rfam